GAGACCAGACGGGGCUCCCCGUCCUCGCACUAGGUCGUCGUCUCCGCAGGAGCCUCGCGGGCACCCGUUGUCAACUCCAGACUUCCCCAUUCGCCUCUGAGCGAGGCUAACGACACAUUUCCCCAACAUAAAACGCGCGUUUCUAAAAAACGUUUCGACAGCGCGAUAUAUGGAAACACCGUAUAGAAAAAAUAAACGCGGUCGCAGGACGACGAAACCGUCGCAGGAAUCCAAUGGUGUUUCUGUUGUGCCUUUCAGGACGAAAAAUGCGAACGCGGCGAUGGAAACGCGCGCGCUGCCUGACGGUAGAUGCGUGAACUAGUUCGCUGUUGCGCCGACGGCUCUUGGACGACAUCAGGGGGGAAUAGGUGGGGGAGGGAGGAGGAGCGCGGCGCAUCGACGUUAUGCAAGGUUCCGUUUCCCGGUUUACAUUUUGCACUUAUUUGCCGACUUUAGAACGAAAGGGAUCGAUAUUUUUGUUUUCAAACAAAGGGCCCACGAUCUGACACUUGCGGGUGAUACUGAACUGAUCAGUCUUGGAGGCGCCCCAAAGGAUACGGCAAUGCGAGUUGCGAGCUAAUUCAAACUGAUGGCGAGCUUAAUAAGAAUUUUAACCUCUGUUUCAUUCUUCUUCUAAUUUAUUGCUUGUCCUAACCUGCAUUCUAGACCUGUUUUAGAGGCAGCGUGGACUAUCACCUAUUUUAAAAGUGUCUUGGUCAAGUCAGAACUUCUCAAAAAUAAGUAAGAAUUUCUGGAAAACAAAUCUGGGAUCAGCCUAUCAUAAAGAACAACAUGGAAAUCAUGGCUCAUCCUCAUCAUCGCUGGAUGGAAAAAGUUGUAGUAUAUGACAAUUGCGCAUUUGCGCUAGUUUCACAUUAUCAUUUAGAUAAAGAUUAAAUAAAGUGGUGUAAUUGGGUUGUAAAGAAUCACGCUACGUUCCAGAUAGCCAUUUUUAUCAGUUCUGCCUAGUUUUUUUUUUUAAUUUUCCAAAAGUGGAUACGAUGAUGAGUUAUUUUGUCCCCUCUAUGUAUAAAUACAUGUAUGAAAUACAACUUGGUACCAUCGGAGAAAUGUGACGAUUUGAUAGCAUGACUCCUCAUGUAUAAUGGAGAUAAGAACACGGAGACCGAUUGUAGAAAUAUCUAGACACUUGGGCAAAUUAUCAAUCCUGGAACGAAAUGAGCAUGGCAUAGUUGCUAAUUCUUAAUGGUAAAAUAGAGCUAAAAUACAUCUGCGAUAACACAAUAAUGAUAUAUAAAGAAGUCAUCUAUAAAAUGGGAGAAAUCUAUAGCCACCAUAAAUAAACAUUUAAAAAUGGGAGCCAGUUCCUUAUGGAGAGAUAUAUCACUGCUUCCAGUUAAGCUCCAAUUUCUUACGUGCGGACAACUGUAAUAAUGAUGAUCGGUAGGAAUUUAUUUCACACAAUAUAAACAGUACGAACCAUCCUGGGGUUUUAUAUAAACAGACUAUUUAAACA
Cylas formicarius (sweet potato weevil) is the source of this 1477-nucleotide long non-coding RNA. RefSeq lists it as uncharacterized. NCBI's taxonomy places the organism in Eukaryota, Metazoa, Arthropoda, Insecta, Coleoptera, Brentidae. The record is from RefSeq and is a predicted model, not a curated record. The transcript is spliced from 3 exons.